CUGGCGGCGUGCCUAAUACAUGCAAGUCGAACGGUCUUUCUAUGGAAGCUUGCUUCCACUGAGAAGAUAGUGGCGAACGGGUGAGUAACACGUGGGUAACCUGCCCAUAAGAGGGGGGAUAACAUCCGGAAACGGGUGCUAAUACCGCAUAGUUUUCUUGAUCGCAUGAUCGGGAAAGGAAAGACGGCCUUUGUGCUGUCGCUUAUGGAUGGACCCGCGGCGUAUUAGUUAGUUGGUGAGGUAACGGCUCACCAAGACGAUGAUACGUAGCCGACCUGAGAGGGUGAUCGGCCACAUUGGGACUGAGACACGGCCCAAACUCCUACGGGAGGCAGCAGUAGGGAAUCUUCCGCAAUGGACGAAAGUCUGACGGAGCAACGCCGCGUGAGUGAAAGAAGGUUUUUCGGAUCGUAAAACUCUGUUGUCAGAGAAGAACAAGUUGGAGAGUAACUGCUCCAGCCUUGACGGUAUCUGACCAGAAAGCCACGGCUAACUACGUGCCAGCCGCCGC
RNAcentral lists this ribosomal RNA (511 nucleotides) under uncultured bacterium. Its description in RNAcentral is "bacterial SSU rRNA". It matches the Rfam family "Bacterial small subunit ribosomal RNA", at positions 36 to 518 of the family's 1533-position model. The record is from RNAcentral.